UGGGGAAUUUUGCACAAUGGGGGAAACCCUGAUGCAGCGACGCCGCGUGAUUUAGAAGGCCUUCGGGUUGUAAAAAUCUUUUCUAUGGGAAGAAAAUGACAGUACCAUAGGAAUAAGGACCGGCUAAUUACGUGCCAGCAGCCGCGGUAAUACGUAAGGUCCGAGCGUUGCCCGGAAUCAUUGGGCGUAAAGGGUACGUAGGCGGGUAAGCAAGUUAGAAGUGAAAUCCUGUAGCUCAACUACAGUAAGCUUUUAAAACUGCUCAUCUUGAGAUAUGGAAGGGAAAGUGGAAUUCCUAGUGUAGCGGUGAAAUGCGCAGUUAUAAGGAGGAAUACCGGUGGCGAAGGCGACUUUCUGGCCAUAAUCUGACGCUGAGGUACGAAAGCGUGGGGAGCGAACAGG
RNAcentral lists this ribosomal RNA (402 nucleotides) under Bacteroidota bacterium. Its description in RNAcentral is "Bacteroidetes bacterium partial 16S ribosomal RNA". It matches the Rfam family "Bacterial small subunit ribosomal RNA", at positions 355 to 776 of the family's 1533-position model. The record is from RNAcentral. Lineage: Bacteria; Pseudomonadati; Bacteroidota.